GCCCCGAUAGCUCAGUGGAUAGAGCGUCUGCCUCCGGAGCAGAAGGUCGCAGGUUCGAAUCCUGUUCGGGGUA
RNAcentral lists this transfer RNA (73 nucleotides) under Boudabousia marimammalium. RNAcentral describes it as "Actinomyces marimammalium tRNA". It matches the Rfam family "tRNA". Rfam says of the family: Transfer RNA (tRNA) molecules are approximately 80 nucleotides in length. Their secondary structure includes four short double-helical elements and three loops (D, anti-codon, and T loops). RNAcentral also lists the same sequence under 2 other names. Lineage: Bacteria; Bacillati; Actinomycetota; Actinomycetes; Actinomycetales; Actinomycetaceae. The record is from Rfam by way of RNAcentral.